AGCAGCCGCGGUAAUUCCAGCUCCAAUAGCGUAUAUUAAAGUUGUUGCAGUUAAAAAGCUCGUAGUUGAAUUUCGGGAUCAGUAUGUUGGUCGUGCUUCGGUACGUACUGUCAUUACUGGUUUCUACCUUCUGAAGAACCUUGAUGUCAUUAAUUUGGUGUCUUGGGGAAUCAGGACUGUUACUUUGAAAAAUUAGAGUGUUUAAAGCAGGCAUACGCUUGAAUACAUUAGCAUGGAAUAAUGAAAUAGGACGUUUGAUUCUAUUUUGUUGGUUUCUAGGAUCGACGUAAUGAUUAAUAGGGAUAGUUGGGGGCAUUAGUAUUCAAUUGUCAGAGGUGAAAUUCUUGGAUUUAUUGAAGACUAACUACUGCGAAAGCAUUUGCCAAGGAUGUUUUCAUUAAUCAAGAACGAAAGUUAGGGGAUCGAAGACGAUCAGAUACCGUCGUAGUCUUAACCAUAAACUAUGCCGACUAGGGAUCGGAUGAUGUUAUUUUUAAUGACUCAUUCGGCGCCUUAAC
This 518-nucleotide ribosomal RNA is filed under the name uncultured Glomus. RNAcentral describes it as "SSU rRNA". It matches the Rfam family "Eukaryotic small subunit ribosomal RNA", at positions 569 to 1092 of the family's 1831-position model. Lineage: Eukaryota; Fungi; Glomeromycota; Glomeromycetes; Glomerales; Glomeraceae. The record is from RNAcentral.